CUUCAGCUGAAGCCGCUGGGAAGCCAGCCUCCCAGGAGGGCUCGGUGCUGGCACUGGAAGUGAGUGAGAAACCAACUCAGACAUCAAACUGCAGAAUACUGUUUACCUACGCGAGCUGAGGGGAGCAGUCGGAGCAGCAGGCUUGGGUUUGCCUGGACGCUGGAAGAGAGUCUGGACCUGAUGGCGAGCCUCUUCCUGUCUGUGGCCACUCAGGUGCCAUUCAGGUAGCACUCAGGGGCGGGUAGUGCAGGAUUACUCAUGCCAUCCCAGCACUUUCUCGUUUCCCUUUUGAUUUCACAGGUUCCAUCCACCCAUUUAGAAAUCAUUUGUUGUCCCUUUAGGUGCUGGGAAAAACAAAGUAAGAGACUCGGUCCACCUGCUGUCAAGAAAACCACACUCCAAAGAGGAGAAGAGAAACCCAGGGAGGAACUGCACGUGCCAAGAGAAGCUGGCCAGGGAUGGCCAUCUGGGAGAGGAACAGAUGGCGAGAGCCCAUGUGGGCUGGGACCUUGAGCCGGGCUCUUGGAGGAGGGUGAGCAUCCUCCAGGUGAGAAGGGAGCCAGGAAAGCCGAUGCCUCGGUGGGGUGGCCUGGCCACAGUGAAGGACGACCGUGGGUGAGCUGGGUGAGGGAGAAGCUGCAGCACUCAGAGCUGACUGUGAACUUGUGGUUCAGGGCUCCAGGAAAACGCAGACCUCCCUCUGGGUCAGCACCAGGCUUUCUGGGGCAUGCGCCCUUUAGUUCCAGACAUUUUUCUGGGAAAGAAGAGUGUCCGUACAAUCCAACUGGAGUCCUUGGAGUUAGGAAAAUAUGAGAAUCGUGUUUUAUUUAGGAUUUUCAAAGUUUUGAGGAAAGUACAAAGAGAAGAGCCAGCAAAUAGCAGAGAGAGGUAAGAAGAAGUGGCAGGAAAGAAUGAGGGAAGGUAGGGAGACCCAGCCGCCAACCCAGCGCAGGGGGCUCCACUCUGGAAGAUCCUUGGCUUAAGUCUUCAUCUGGCGGGUUGAAACUCCCGGCAUGUGAGUCAAGCCUGGAGACGCUCAUGUGGUGGGCAAUAAGGUAAAUGUACCCUUUUCCUGUGACAGAAAUUCCAAACAUUAAGCAUGUGGAGCAGCUCUAGCUGUUCCCCGGUGCAGACAGGCGACGUAAGUAAGUGACUGUAUGUUCUGCCUUCAGCACCUCUUUCAGCCAAGAGCAAAAACUGGAUUGUAAGGAUAUCCUGUUAAACAAUCCAAAGUUUCCUCCUCCUCCUCCUCCCCCUCCCCCCCUUCCCUUUCUCCUUCCCCUUCCCCUCCACCUUCCCCUUCCCCUCCCCGUUCUCCUUCUUCAGCUUGCUUAAAGUCGCUACCUUAUCCCAUUCUCCCUCUGAUUCCAUGUAAGCUCCCCAGGGCCAAAGUCUGGGUGGGAAGGUGUUACCACUGUUGACCAGUGAGGAGUCCUUGCUUCCCCAAUGUUGAAGAGUAACAGCAGAGAAGCACACCGAGAGAGGCAAGGUCAGAGUGGAAAGUAGAGGCUUUAUUAAAGGACAGCAGAAAAGACUUCUCCCGGAGGAAGAAGGGGACCCAAGAGGUGGAAUCCGUGGAAGGGCGGUUGUCUCCCCUUUUUAUAGUUCCUUCAGUCAUGGAAUGUAGGUGGGCAGGCCCGAGGGGUGGGGCACAGGUGGGCCAAAGAAGAAAUCUGGGCAGGAAGGACUUUUGAGUCAGCAUCUUCAAGUUUGCUGGGAGCUGUUCAUUAACACUUCUUUGGGAUGGGCUCUGGGCCUUGGGGACAUUAACAUUCCAUGAGUUAUCCUGCAUUUCCCAGACUUCAUUAACAUUCCAGGAGUUGUUCAGCUUUUCCUGGAAUUCAUUCUCAACAUGGCCUCCAUUUUGGAUCUUACUCGAUAUUAGACCUGAUUUACCUAACUACACUGACCACCUAACUUUAAAUCUGGCUUCAAAGGUGCUAGGUGUUCGGGUGUCAGGGUCCCUUCUCAGAGCUCAGUGGAUUUCCAUGGGACUGCUGACCCCUGGUUACUGGCACCUGGACCCUCUGACAUUGCAGAGAUACAUGUUUCCAUUGCCCCCCAACCUGGCCAACUCCUCUCUGCCAGGAGGACUAGCCCAGAUUUACUCAAUCCAUGGGUGGCAACCAGAACUCAAGAUUUCCAGGAUGGGCGGGAAUCACAAGAUCUUGACUCCAGUCUCCAGGGCAUGAGUGGAGCCUCUCUCAGGCUAACACGAAAGGCAAAGAGGACCUUCCUCCCUCCUUAUCCUUCUGCUGUCCAAUGCCUCUGUCAGAAUGGAAGUUCUUUUCACUAUUAGGCUACUGAAAAACUUGAGAUGCAGAAACAACAACAACACGUGUCCAAGUUCACUGAGCGAGUGAGUAAACCAAGCCUUCACCUGGGGUCUCCUGACUUCCUGAUACUUGGGCUUCUCUAAACCCUUGCUAGGGAAUACUCAAUUGCCCUAAGGUUAGGAAUUCUUCCUCAUUACCUUGUCCCUAAGUUUUGCUUCUGGAAGGAAACACAGACACUCAUUCAACCAAGCGUUUAUGGCCCUUUAGCUGCACAAAUGCUGUGCUGAAGAUGAGGUGAGAGGGAUAAAGGGACCAGCCUCCAACAACAUAGUCUCCACUGCAAACAAACAAAAGACAGUUCGCCGGACCCAGAGCUUCUGCAAGGCGUGGAGAUGAAGACUGGACGUUUUAAACCUGUUUGCCACUGGGAACUGUCACUGUGCUCCCCGUGAGCAUGGCUCCUCAGGGCCUCCAGCUGCUGUCUGAACGGUUACUCUCAUAAACCUCAGGCUAGAGGGCCCCUAGGAGUCAAUGUCGGCAUCCCAUUCAGGGAAGGUCAGGCCCUCAGCAGGUGAAGUCUGCACAUAACUGAGGCCAAGGCAAGGCUUCGCAGUCCUGUGCCAGAGGGACUGUUAUCAGGGAGGUUUGGGUGCUCAUGUCUCACGUGUUUUGACCACAGUAGCAGCAGGUGCACAAGAUCUGCGAUGAGGAUGGUGAGGGAAGGAAAGUCAGACCACAGAGUCAGAAACCAGGGUUGGCCUCCAGGGCUGUCAACAAAAUAAGCAAAGGCAAUCCCCGAACAGGAGGGGGCGCUAGAGGGCAGCAGCAGGAAAGUGAAGGUGGGCUUGGGUCAGGGGAAGACCUAGGAAGGAUACACGGUACACCAGGGAGAUGAAUCUGGCAAUGCCUUGGAUUAGUCGGGUGGGGCUACAGAGGAAAAAUGCCAUGAGUGGUUUGAAAGACAGGAAUUUCUCUUCUCCUUGUUCUGGAGGCUGUAAGUCCAACCCCAAGGUGUCCGGUGUGUUCUGGAUCCACUCUCUAGCUUGCCAGUGGCCUCCUAACUGUGUCUGCAUGACCCUUUCUUAUGUGCAUGUUCCUGGUGCCCCUGGUGUGUCCGAUCUACUCUUCUCAUAAGGACUCCAGCCUGAUGGGCUCAGGGACACCCCACCAGUCUGCCUUUACCUCCAUUGCUCCUGCAAAAUCCCCAACACAGUCAUGUUCUGAGGCUCUGAGGGUUAGGGCUUCCACAUCUUGGAGGCACAAUUCCAAGGGUCACGGGCAGGAGAAGGAAGAGAUGCCUGAGACGAAGGGGAGUGAAAACUGCCAGGGACAGUGAGGGAGGGACAGGAGCUACAGAAAGGUGUCCAGGGAGGCACGGACAGGGCCCAACUACCAGAGGCAUGUGCGUGGGGCAACGUGUGGAGAUGCCCUCAAAGGUACGCCAGCCACCAGCAGGUCAAAAAUGUCACACGAGAUGGCAGCAGCCACCACAAGACUCUCCUUUGUCCGGGAAGCAAAUGUUCCAGGUUGCCCAGUUUCUAAGAGAACCGAGGUCACAGACACCUUGGUUUUGGACUUCAGCCAUUAACCCCAAUGCUGAAAUCAGCCUGUGGUUCCCAUGAACCGCUGAGCAGGUCCGAGAGGAAACGGAGGCCCGUGCCAGUUACUGGACAGAGCGCGUGCCCUAAGGACCCCACUGAUGACAGAAAGUGGGAGCUCGCCCAGCCCUUUCAAAAGAAGCAAGUGCAGAGAUUCUGAGGGGCAUUCCAGAGGCCCAACCAGGACAGAGCCCGUUUUGUUCUUUAGAUGGUUUUAGUGAACUCCAUUCUCCACUGGGGAAGAUGGACUUGGGAACCAAAACUAGGAACUGGGAAUUUUCAGUCAGGCAAAGUGGAGAGUCAUGAUGUGGAACCUGAGGGGACCUGGCCACAUCGGUGCCAUAGUCCACAGAGGAGAGGGUCCUGGCUUUGCUUAGAGACCAUGCAGACGGGAAGAGUCAGGGCAGAGGAUGCAGCUCAGUGGUAGAGAACUUGCCAAGCGUGUGUGAUCCCCUAGGUUCCUUCCUCAGCACCACAAAAAGAAAGAAAGAAGAAAUAUAUAUACAUAGAUAGAUAGAUAUACACACAUUUAUACAUAAACAUGCUGGGGAGACCCAUGGAAACCAAAUGACUAUAAAUGCUUUAAGGCACUAAACUUUUGCUAAUUUGUUAGGCACUAACAAAAAUCUAAAAAUCUAAUGUGCCUACCAAUCAUCAGGGGAUCCCUGAGAUUCAUCCUAACUAGUCUCAGGCAAUGCAAAUUUGCCACUCUAGAAUCACAUCUGCAGCAAACACUAGUUAGAUGCCUAUUGAGAGAGCUUCCGAUUCUAUGGUUACAACCAGCCAGGGAAGAAAACAGCACGGGAGUUAGAGGAAAAAAAUUGUCACCAGUUGCAAAUAUCUAAACUGAUUUUUGCAAUUUCACUAAAAACUGAAUGAUUAUGUUGAGCAAGUUUAAAUGCAUAUGGAAGUCGUUCACGGGAGUCGUUUUCAAGGAAUACAUAAUGCUGAGCAGGAGGAGGGAAAGGGCCAGUGAUGAAAUACAGGGUUGGAAGGAAAAAUGCUGCAGACUUCCCGCUUUGCCUACGUAUUGCAUAUGCAAGGGAUGGGUCCUGUGCAGGGCUGACCUGUUGCACAAACGAGCUGAGCAUUCUGAGCGACAGGAGAGUCCUCCGGAAAUGAGGGGCCACUCUUUGUCACAACGAAAGUCUAAAACACCGGAGCCUUGGGGGGACACCUAAUGCUCAUUAUUGUUUAACGUUUAAUUUAUCAGGAUUAACUUGUGGUCUAACUCCUGCUCUUCCCACUUCUGGGGGGGACAUACCAUGCCCUAUUCCAUGUGGCCCUGCUGUGCAAUUGAGACCUUCAUCCAUGGGGCUCCAGGGCACCCCCUUCAAACGUGACUUCAAGGAGAAAAUUCAUAAGAGUAGACAGAGUUAGAUGAUGAAGGUUCUUAGUAGGAAAGGUGAAGGAGACUUUGAUUUUUAACAGAGCAUCCUAGGGACAGAUAGGACAGAGGAAGAGAGAGGAGCGGAAGGCAGUCGGCAGGACCCAGGAGUACCACAGGAGACUGAAGAGGACGUGAGCCAGGAGGCACAGAGUUCAGUCAUGCCUAGCUUCUGAAGUGCCACCACAAUGGGGUGACUGGGUGCUGAAUGCAUUCUCAGCUGGGAACCAAGGACAAAUGGCACUUUGCCCACCACAAUGCAUUACAGGCCCAAGCCCAGUGUGUCCAAAACCCACCGCCUUGGGAGAGUUCCCCUUUAAGCCUGCGUGGGCUGCCCCCUUCCCCACAGUAUGCAUUUUUUUGCAGGUGCAUUUGCUUGUAUUUUGCAAAACAGAAUCUUGCUUUGUUGUAACUUUCCCUCUUUUUUGUCCUCUUCAUUGUCUGCAGCUCCUAAUUGGUAUUUGUAAUAACUCCCAGUUUAGUAUCAUCUGCAAGUUUCAUUAACAUGCUGAUUGCUCCUUUGUCAUUAAUAAAAACAUUAAAUUAUUAUUUAACAUUCAUUGUGCACCAACAAUGUAUUAGGAGUUUUGCAGGAUAGAAGAGCGGAUUCCGCUCUCUCUGCAACCUCAUUUUCUUGUCCCUGAAAAGUUCUCAAAUAGCUGAGCACAGUGGAGUUUUUGUCCUCCUCCUCCUUUGUGGACCCCAAGGGAGGCCUACUUCAGGAUCUUUUGUGCUGGGUGGAGCCAUCAAGCAAAAUCCCUGGAGCUUCUCUCUCCUGAGAGUGAGUUUUAUUUCCCAGCCGGUCACCUCUCAGCUGUUGCUCUUGCCAUUGAUCAACAAUUUAUACCCUUUCAGUUUCACCCCA
Molecule: long non-coding RNA, 6126 nt
Filed under: Marmota monax (woodchuck)
Lineage: Eukaryota; Metazoa; Chordata; Mammalia; Rodentia; Sciuridae
Source: RNAcentral